AAUGAACUUUCUUCUUGAAGCGGGAAUUCUCAGCCAUCGUCUCCAACCUGGGUGUGACCAUCUCAGUCAGGCUGGUCCAUGUGGAGCCCGCGUCCACGAGGCCGGCCUCCUCUACUAUUGUCUGUUAAUCCGAGAGGAAAAAAAGUUGCAGCCCUCCGGGGUCGGAAUGGCAGAACAAAAGGGGGGAAAAAUAUCAGAGGAAGAAGAAAGAUGGCUCCGAGUGUUUAAUCCAUGAGCAAGUUCGCCGGUUCGACUUCUGGAGACCGCACGUCGGGAUCGGCGGCGAAUUCGGUUCUUUGACACAAGUUGUAAGCUCCGGAUUACAGCCCGCAUCCUUCCACUUCCCACUGUACUGGGGAUGGUUUUUUUUUUCCUCCUAGUGCCGGUUUCCAUGGCGAUGCAUCAGUCACUAGUCUAAAUAAGUACGGGUGAAGGACGCCUGGAAAACCAGUGCAAUUACGCAUGCCAUUAGUGGGGAGAGGAAAAUGAUUCAACCCCGCGAUGAGCACGGGGCCGAGGUUCCGAGCCCUGCGUUCGGUGGGGUGAGCGGCCGGGCGGUGAGGUCCAUGUUGGACGCACCACGCUGCAGAGCCAAGGCCAGAGGGAGUGACGGCAUCUCAGCGAAGCUGCCAGGAGCUGACUCUGUGGCCUCGGACCCCUCACCUCUCUGAGCUGCAGGCUUGCCGUUGGUCCCCAUGGGUGGUGAUUCUCUGUGAACGAACGUGCCGAGAUCCCGAGAGGCAGGCUGUGCGGCCAGGCGACUGCCCGGAGCCAGGUCCCCGCUCUGCCCCGACCAGCUGUGUGGCCCAGGUCCAGCCUCUGAUUUGUCAGAUGAGGAUAAUCACCAAGUAUCUUAAGUUAAUUUUCAAUUACUCCAACCAGUGACUUAACGAAGUGAAUAAUUAAUAUGUAAGUUAUUCCAACAGGAUGUUAGUUGUUACAAGGUUGUUAAUCCUUUUAUUUCAUGCUCAUGUGAAGAGCGCAAAACUCUACCUGCAGGCUGCUGUGGCUCAAGGCUGCCUGCUUCGAGGUAUGACUCAUCCUUUGAGUCCUAUUCACCCACCCGUGUCGGAAUAAAUGCCCCACAGAGACUGAGAGACAGGACAUUGGCCCAGAGAGGCCAAGGGAAUGACCUAAAGGCACACAGCCGGGUAAAGGCGGGCCUGGGCCUGGCACCGGGCCUCUGGACCCAGCCCCAUGCCCAUCCAGGGUCCCCAGAUCCCGCCUUGCUCUUUGGUGAACUGUGGGGAUGAAGAAACGCGGGCUUCAUGGCUACGCAGGGAAACGUGAGGCUCUGACUGGGUUCCCUAAUCGGAUUGGAGCGGUUCCUAAUCCUGCUCCCUGCGGCCCAGAGCCCCCCCACCCCCCAACGCACCCUGACUGGGC
Long non-coding RNA from Sus scrofa (pig), 1386 nucleotides. RefSeq lists it as uncharacterized. The record is from RefSeq and is a predicted model, not a curated record. Lineage: Eukaryota; Metazoa; Chordata; Mammalia; Artiodactyla; Suidae.